GCCUGGCUGGCUCAGUCAGUAGAGCAUGGGACUCUUGAUCUCAGGGUUGUGAGUUUGAGCCCCAUGUUGGGCA
RNAcentral lists this transfer RNA (73 nucleotides) under Felis catus (domestic cat). It matches the Rfam family "tRNA". From Rfam's summary of the family: Transfer RNA (tRNA) molecules are approximately 80 nucleotides in length. Their secondary structure includes four short double-helical elements and three loops (D, anti-codon, and T loops). The record is from Rfam by way of RNAcentral. Lineage: Eukaryota; Metazoa; Chordata; Mammalia; Carnivora; Felidae.